AAUGAAUUCUUAGUUUUUACUAUUUUAUUGAGUCUUUUCAUUUUUAGGAUGGAUUCCUUGGCUUUUUUUCGGUUCUUUUCCUGAGGAUAGUCCCUUUGAACCGAGUGUCUUUUAUUUUUUUUAGGAAUAAAUUUUCAUUUUUUAUUUUAUUUUAUUGGAGAGAAAAGAAAAGACCCUUUUGAGUUGUGUGAUACUUGCUAUUUGGG
RNAcentral lists this long non-coding RNA (206 nucleotides) under Solanum tuberosum (potato). Its description in RNAcentral is "long non-coding RNA (STUB_LNC009688)". The record is from RNAcentral. Lineage: Eukaryota; Viridiplantae; Streptophyta; Magnoliopsida; Solanales; Solanaceae.